RNAcentral lists this ribosomal RNA (327 nucleotides) under uncultured eukaryote. RNAcentral describes it as "partial 18S ribosomal RNA". It matches the Rfam family "Eukaryotic small subunit ribosomal RNA", at positions 1470 to 1796 of the family's 1831-position model. The record is from RNAcentral.
CCCUUAGAUGUUCUGGGCCGCACGCGCGCUACACUGACGGAUUCAACGAGCUUACAACCUUGGCCGAAAGGUCUGGGUAAUCUCCAAAAUCCGUCGUGAUGGGGAUAGAUUAUUGCAAUUAUUAAUCUUCAACGAGGAAUGCCUAGUAAGCGCAAGUCAUCAGCUUGCGUUGACUACGUCCCUGCCCUUUGUACACACCGCCCGUCGCUCCUACCGAUUGAAUGGUCCGGUGAAGCGUUUGGACUAUGGUUUUCUGAUGGUCCGCCGUUGGAUUACCGUGGGAAGUUCGUUAAACCUUAUCAUUUAGAGGAAGGAGAAGUCGUAACA